This 496-nucleotide ribosomal RNA is filed under the name uncultured Curvibacter sp. Its description in RNAcentral is "bacterial SSU rRNA". It matches the Rfam family "Bacterial small subunit ribosomal RNA", at positions 898 to 1398 of the family's 1533-position model. The record is from RNAcentral. Lineage: Bacteria; Pseudomonadati; Pseudomonadota; Betaproteobacteria; Burkholderiales; Comamonadaceae.
AACUCAAAGGAAUUGGCGGGGACCCGCACAAGCGGUGGAUAAUGUGGUUUAAUUCGAUGCAACGCGAAAAACCUUACCCACCUUUGACAUGUACGGAAGUUACCAGAGAUGGUUUCGUGCUCGAAAGAGAACCGUAACACAGGUGCUGCAUGGCUGUCGUCAGCUCGUGUCGUGAGAUGUUGGGUUAAGUCCCGCAACGAGCGCAACCCUUGUCAUUAGUUGCUACGAAAGGGCACUCUAAUGAGACUGCCGGUGACAAACCGGAGGAAGGUGGGGAUGACGUCAAGUCCUCAUGGCCCUUAUAGGUGGGGCUACACACGUCAUACAAUGGCUGGUACAGAGGGUUGCCAACCCGCGAGGGGGAGCUAAUCCCAUAAAACCAGUCGUAGUCCGGAUCGCAGUCUGCAACUCGACUGCGUGAAGUCGGAAUCGCUAGUAAUCGCGGAUCAGAAUGUCGCGGUGAAUACGUUCCCGGGUCUUGUACACACCGCCCGUC